This 429-nucleotide ribosomal RNA is filed under the name Bacteroidota bacterium. Its description in RNAcentral is "Bacteroidetes bacterium partial 16S ribosomal RNA". It matches the Rfam family "Bacterial small subunit ribosomal RNA", at positions 355 to 776 of the family's 1533-position model. The record is from RNAcentral. Lineage: Bacteria; Pseudomonadati; Bacteroidota.
UAGGGAAUCUUCGGCAAUGGACGCAAGUCUGACGGAGCAACGCCGCGUGAGUGAAGAAGGAUUUCGGUUCGUAAAACUCUGUUGUUAGAGAAGAACAGCGCAUAGAGUAACUGUUAUGCGUGUGACGGUAUCUAACCAGAAAGCCACGGCUAACUACGUGCCAGCAGCCGCGGUAAUACGUAGGUGGCAAGCGUUGUCCGGAUUUAUUGGGCGUAAAGCGAGCGCAGGCGGUCAAUUAAGUCUGAUGUGAAAGCCCCCGGCUCAACCGGGGAGGGUCAUUGGAAACUGGUUGACUUGAGUGCAGAAGAGGAGAGUGGAAUUCCAUGUGUAGCGGUGAAAUGCGUAGAUAUAUGGAGGAACACCAGUGGCGAAGGCGACUCUCUGGUCUGUAACUGACGCUGAGGCUCGAAAGCGUGGGUAGCAAACAGG